Molecule: long non-coding RNA, 868 nt
Filed under: Nicotiana tabacum (common tobacco)
Lineage: Eukaryota; Viridiplantae; Streptophyta; Magnoliopsida; Solanales; Solanaceae
Description: long non-coding RNA (NTAB_LNC000316)
Source: RNAcentral
UUUCACUUUCCCUACUGCUAUCCGUAGUACAAUCUAGAAACUCCUACUAUUAGAACUAAUUAUGAUCCUCCUUUCCAUUGCUCCUCUAGAGACAUUGAAUUCGUUUUCUUUCAGAUUUCUCCGGUUGAUUUCAAGUUAGUUGUAAUUUCUUUAUCUUCCAAUUAGUGAGUUUUCUGCAUUUUCUUCUUUGUUUAACGCACCCGGCUAUUGAUGAUGGCACUUUAAUUGAAAUCUGUUAAUUUUUGUGCUCCUUUGAAUAUUUUUCUGUUGGAUCUCUACAUGUAUAGUGAUGAUAGUAUCAAUUUGUACAUUGGUUUGGUUUGAAAACAGGUGCACAAUUCAAUUUUUUGGAUAAUCAAAGUUAAUGCUUCUUCCCUUAACGAAAAUCGCAACAGAUUGUACACUUAAUUUGGUGAUUCAGAUGAAUUUCUCUAUUUACUAUCUCCUUUAACUGGUAAGUAAAGCUACUAUUGAUUUUGCGUUGUGUGAGGAAUAGUAAAUUUCCCCAAAAGGUACUGAAAUUAUACAUUUCUUCGAAGCUUUUCAAGAUUAUUGAAGCAUUCAGGGUUUCCAUUGGCUGUCAUUCUAGCUUCACUCUCGAAAAAUAUUAUGCGUACUCUAAUUUUUUCAGUUCUGCUAAGUUUUCUUUCCCCUAUUUUUCCCUUUUUAGGUUCACCCAAUUAUUAAUUAUGAAAUUUUACGGGGUAUCAAUUUGAAUAAUGCUGCACUGAGGUUGUUUGACAAUAUUCUUGAAACAACUGGGUGAUAUUUUUACUUUUUUUAAAGUGCGUUUCUGUUGCAAAUUGAGCUUUACUUCUCUUUUAAUUCCAAAUUUAUAUGGGAUUUCUCAUAUUAUUGCACAUGUAAG